CCUACGGGGGGCAGCAGUGGGGGAUAUUGCACAAUGGGGGGAACCCUGAUGCGGCGACGCCGCGUGGGCGAUGGAGUGCUUCGGCAUGUAAAGCCCUAUCAGCAGGGAAGAAAAUGACGGUACCUGACUAAGAAGCCCCGGCUAACUACGUGCCAGCAGCCGCGGUAAUACGUAGGGGGCAAGCGUUAUCCGGAUUUACUGGGUGUAAAGGGAGCGUAGACGGCGGCGCAAGUCCGGAGUGAAAGCCCACGGCCCAACCGUGGGACUGCUCUGGAAACUGUGCGGCUUGAGUGCGGGGAGGGCAG
Molecule: ribosomal RNA, 305 nt
Filed under: uncultured bacterium
Lineage: Bacteria
Description: bacterial SSU rRNA
Rfam family: Bacterial small subunit ribosomal RNA
Source: RNAcentral